RNAcentral lists this ribosomal RNA (1050 nucleotides) under Proteus mirabilis. RNAcentral's name for it is "bacterial LSU rRNA". It matches the Rfam family "Bacterial large subunit ribosomal RNA", at positions 1899 to 2925 of the family's 2925-position model. The record is from RNAcentral. Lineage: Bacteria; Pseudomonadati; Pseudomonadota; Gammaproteobacteria; Enterobacterales; Morganellaceae. RNAcentral also lists the same sequence under 2 other names.
GCGAAGCUCCUGAUCGAAGCCCCAGUAAACGGCGGCCGUAACUAUAACGGUCCUAAGGUAGCGAAAUUCCUUGUCGGGUAAGUUCCGACCUGCACGAAUGGCGUAAUGAUGGCCAGGCUGUCUCCACCCGAGACUCAGUGAAAUUGAACUCGCUGUGAAGAUGCAGUGUACCCGCGGCAAGACGGAAAGACCCCGUGAACCUUUACUAUAGCUUGACACUGAACAUUGAGCCUUGAUGUGUAGGAUAGGUGGGAGGCUUUGAAGUGUGGACGCCAGUCUGCAUGGAGCCAACCUUGAAAUACCACCCUUUAACGUUUGAUGUUCUAACCUAGGCCCAUAAACUGGGUCGGGGACCGUGUCUGGUGGGUAGUUUGACUGGGGCGGUCUCCUCCUAAAGAGUAACGGAGGAGCACGAAGGUUGGCUAAGCAUGGUCGGACAUCAUGCGGUUAGUGCAAAGGCAUAAGCCAGCUUGACUGCGAGAGUGACGGCUCGAGCAGGUACGAAAGUAGGUCUUAGUGAUCCGGUGGUUCUGAAUGGAAGGGCCAUCGCUCAACGGAUAAAAGGUACUCCGGGGAUAACAGGCUGAUACCGCCCAAGAGUUCAUAUCGACGGCGGUGUUUGGCACCUCGAUGUCGGCUCAUCACAUCCUGGGGCUGAAGUAGGUCCCAAGGGUAUGGCUGUUCGCCAUUUAAAGUGGUACGCGAGCUGGGUUUAGAACGUCGUGAGACAGUUCGGUCCCUAUCUGCCGUGGGCGUUGGAAGAUUGAGAGGGGUUGCUCCUAGUACGAGAGGACCGGAGUGAACGCACCACUGGUGUUCGGGUUGUCAUGCCAAUGGCAUUGCCCGGUAGCUAAGUGCGGAAGAGAUAACCGCUGAAAGCAUCUAAGCGGGAAACUUGCCUCGAGAUGAGUCUUCCCUGUCGCUUUAAGCGACCUAAAGGAACGUUUAAGACUAAGACGUUGAUAGGCUGGGUGUGUAAGCGUAGCGAUACGUUGAGCUAACCAGUACUAAUGAACCGUGAGGCUUAACCUGACAACACCGAAGGUGUUU